UACGGAGGGUGCAAACGUUGCUCGGAAUCAUUGGGCGUAAAGGGCGCGUAGGCGGCAAUUCAAGUCAUCUGUGAAAUCUCCGGGCUUAACCCGGAACGGUCAGAUGAUACUGCUUUGCUAGAGUGCGGAAGGGGCAAUCGGAAUUCUCGGUGUAGCGGUGAAAUGCGUAGAUAUCGAGAGGAACACCUGAGGUGAAGACGGGUUGCUGGGCCGACACUGACGCUGAGUGCGCGAAAGCCAGGGGAGCAAACGGG
This 254-nucleotide ribosomal RNA is filed under the name uncultured bacterium. RNAcentral's name for it is "partial 16S ribosomal RNA". It matches the Rfam family "Bacterial small subunit ribosomal RNA", at positions 524 to 776 of the family's 1533-position model. The record is from RNAcentral.